RNAcentral lists this ribosomal RNA (858 nucleotides) under Sphingobacteriales bacterium. Its description in RNAcentral is "bacterial SSU rRNA". It matches the Rfam family "Bacterial small subunit ribosomal RNA", at positions 1 to 855 of the family's 1533-position model. Lineage: Bacteria; Pseudomonadati; Bacteroidota; Sphingobacteriia; Sphingobacteriales. The record is from RNAcentral.
ACAAUGGAGAGUUUGAUCCUGGCUCAGGAUGAACGCUAGCGGCAGGCUUAAUACAUGCAAGUCGUGGGGCAGCAUGGUGUAGCAAUACACUGAUGGCGACCGGCAAACGGGUGCGGAACACGUACAGAACCUUCCUUCGAGUGGUGAAUAGCCCAGAGAAAUUUGGAUUAAUACACCGUAACAUAUAAGAGUGGCAUCACUUUUAUAUUAUAGCUCCGGCGCUUGAAGAUGGCUGUGCGGCUGAUUAGGUAGUUGGCGGGGUAACGGCCCACCAAGCCUGCGAUCAGUAACUGGUGUGAGAGCACGACCAGUCACACGGGCACUGAGACACGGGCCCGACUCCUACGGGAGGCAGCAGUAAGGAAUAUUGGUCAAUGGACGCAAGUCUGAACCAGCCAUGCCGCGUGAAGGAUGAAGGUCCUCUGGAUUGUAAACUUCUUUUAUCUGGGACGAAAAAAGGGCUUUCUAGCUCAACUGACGGUACCAGAGGAAUAAGCACCGGCUAACUCCGUGCCAGCAGCCGCGGUAAUACGGAGGGUGCAAGCGUUAUCCGGAUUCACUGGGUUUAAAGGGUGCGUAGGCGGGUAGGUAAGUCAGUGGUGAAAUCCUGGAGCUUAACUCCAGAACUGCCAUUGAUACUAUCUAUCUUGAAUAUUGUGGAGGUAAGCGGAAUAUGUCAUGUAGCGGUGAAAUGCUUAGAUAUGACAUAGAACACCAAUUGCGAAGGCAGCUUGCUACACGGUGAUUGACGCUGAUGCACGAAAGCGUGGGGAUCAAACAGGAUUAGAUACCCUGGUAGUCCACGCCCUAAACGAUGGAUACGCGACAUCAGCGAUACACUGUUGGUGUCUGAGCGAA